UCACAUUUAAGUUAAUCCAAACUGUUAGCUUGUGGAGCUAUAAAUGCAUCUUUUUGCAAUGUGAA
This 65-nucleotide transfer RNA is filed under the name Tristoma integrum. RNAcentral's name for it is "tRNA-His". Lineage: Eukaryota; Metazoa; Platyhelminthes; Monogenea; Capsalidea; Capsalidae. The record is from RNAcentral.